UUGGAGGGCAAGUCUGGUGCCAGCAGCCGCGGUAAUUCCAGCUCCAAUAGCGUAUAUUAAAGUUGUUGCAGUUAAAAAGCUCGUAGUUGAACUUCGGGGUUUACCCAUUGGUCAGGCUUAAUUGUCUGUACCGGUGAGAUGAAUCUCUACCUUCUGAGGAACUUUCAUGCCAUUUAUUUGGUGUGAUGGGAAAUCAGGACUGUUACCUUGAAAAAAUUAGAGUGUUUAAAGCAGGCUCACGCUUGAAUACAUUAGCAUGGAAUAAUGAAAUAGGACAUCCGAUUCUAUUUUGUUGGUUUCUAGGAUCGAUGUAAUGAUUAAUAGGGAUAGUUGGGGGCAUUAGUAUUCAAUUGUCAGAGGUGAAAUUCUUGGAUUUAUUGAAGACUAACUACUGCGAAAGCAUUUGCCAAGGAUGUUUUCAUUAAUCAAGAACGAAAGUUAGGGGAUCGAAGACGAUCAGAUACCGUCGUAGUCUUAACCAUAAACUAUGCCGACUAGGGAUCGGAUGAUGUUAAUUUUUUAAUGACUCAUUCGGCGCCUUACGGGAAAC
Molecule: ribosomal RNA, 550 nt
Filed under: uncultured Diversispora
Lineage: Eukaryota; Fungi; Glomeromycota; Glomeromycetes; Diversisporales; Diversisporaceae
Description: SSU rRNA
Rfam family: Eukaryotic small subunit ribosomal RNA
Source: RNAcentral